GGGUCGGUGGCGUAGUUGGUUAUCGCAUCUGUCUAACAUGGCCCAGGUUGGAACCUGGUCACGUGCACAGAAGGUCCUCAGUUCGAUCCUGGGCCAACUCA
Molecule: non-coding RNA, 101 nt
Organism: Cristinia sonorae
Lineage: Eukaryota; Fungi; Basidiomycota; Agaricomycetes; Agaricales; Stephanosporaceae
Source: the annotation of a GenBank genome assembly